CUUGCAAACUUUGGACACAGACUAGUGACUGUCGCUAAUAGCCAAACAACACUGACUGGCACGAAAAAAACAGCUAAGAACACCACUACACCAGUCUAAUUCAUAAACAAACAGCAUAAUAUUUUAAUCUAUCAAAAAACUCUCACGAUACUAAAUACACUUUUCUCCAUAUUGAACAAAAAGAAUUCUCACUGGUGUGCUUUUUGUGAAGAUUUUAUUUUUUAAGAAAUGGGGAGGGGGGAUAAACCCUUUGUUGUUGCUUUCUUGCUUUGGUUUUCUGGUACUGCUUACCACCACUAUUGGCUUCAACUUUGUAACUCACCUUUCUCCGACUAAAAUACUGGCGUGCAGGCUCUUGAAAUACCCACUGGCUGCUACAUUCUCCACGUCCAGGGAAACACGGUUGCUGCUAUGGGUUCAUUCAAAGGCUUGAAGCAAGUCAGAAGAAUUGUUGAAGAAUGCAUGCUGAAUAAAUUGCCUUUGUGGUGUAGAUUUUGGCCGAAGAAAAUAUGUCACUUCUUUUCACAUUGUCAGGUUCUUAUGAUGAAGAAAGAACUUGAAAAGGAUCCAGCACUUGCCCAGGAGAACUGGGAUAGGUUCCUUCCAAAAUUCAAGAAGUAUGCCUUUUAUUUAUUUGACAAAUUGUAUAUUCUUUUAUUCCAAAAUUCACAUUAGAAGCGUCGGUCUAUCUUUUAUUUUAGUAGUGCUAGCAAAUUAAUUACCCUUUCAUUUAGUUUGAAUUUGAGUGACACUUAAAUGAGAACCAAUCGUGCACAAUAUUAAAUUAAACGCAAACUGCUGUGACUUCCGUGUGACUAAAAAUGAUUAAAUUUUCUUUAGAUGUUUUUA
Glycine soja is the source of this 849-nucleotide long non-coding RNA. RefSeq lists it as uncharacterized. Lineage: Eukaryota; Viridiplantae; Streptophyta; Magnoliopsida; Fabales; Fabaceae. The transcript has 2 exons. The record is from RefSeq and is a predicted model, not a curated record.